Molecule: long non-coding RNA, 1449 nt
Filed under: Theobroma cacao (cacao)
Lineage: Eukaryota; Viridiplantae; Streptophyta; Magnoliopsida; Malvales; Malvaceae
Description: long non-coding RNA (TCAC_LNC004250)
Source: RNAcentral
UAACAUUACUUUCAAGCAAAUGGAAUGGAUAUAAAUAAGAUGAGUAAUAAAGAAAAAGCAAGAGGUGGUAAAUCUUCAAAACAAAAAGUUGGUAUUGUCAUAUAAUUUAGUGUAGUCUAUAACACAACAGUGAAGUGUCAAGAAGAUUCUACAAAUUCAUUUAUUUUCAAUGAUCUUAUUGUUUUGAUUUUUGAUAAGUUCAAGUAGGCGAGAGAAUUCAAACAUAGGGAUUUCGAUUGUAGAGAAAUUUGGGAUUUGAUGUCCACGUCUCCCUAAUUCAAAGGAUAAGAACGUGGGAUGAUUAUCUUAAAGCAGUACAGCCCUGUCACCACCGCCGUGUCAAACCCAAACCCCAAGCUGAAAUGAGGAAAACAUGGAUGGAAAUACGGCUGUUUUACAAGAAUUAAAUGAUAAGAAAAUUAGUUUAAUAAAUUAGAGAAAGAUUAGCCCAGUAAUUCGAAGUGCUUGCUAAUUCUAUAUAAAUUGGGCUUAUAAGACCCAAUGUGUUCAUAAACAGGCUUCUAAAAGCUAUAAGCAUCUUGUGUUCUUUUUCCAUUUAAAUUUUCCUACCUAUUUUCUUCCCCCUCCACCACCUCUUUUCCCUUCCAACCCCACCAGCCCCCUCUUCUUUUCCAUUCUAAUGAAUCUUCUAUGUGAAAUCUACAAUUGUCCUGAUCAUCUUCUCUGUGUCUUCUUAAUGAAUCUUGAUUUGAUACAAAAACAUCAAGCUGCUAAUAAACUUGAUAGAGGGUUAUGUGAUCAAGCUUUGAUAUAACUUACUUAUCAUACGUACCUAUAUACAUACAUAAAAGAUAAAAUAUUGUUGGGAAAUUCAAACAGGAAAUUAAAGGUUAUAUAGUAAUCAGGAUGUCAGACUUACACCAUUAACCAGACAUGGUUAUUAGUAGUUUGAGAUGUUUACAAUUUGUCUUCAAGAAGAAUCAACACUCUGAUGGUAACUAUAAUAGAAUAGACAGUGCUUAUAGGUAAUCACUAGUACUAUUUUGGGGAGAGCUUCAGGAUUCUCCAUAUAAAUCCAGGGCCUAUCAAGUAGGAUUAAUCCCUAGAAGAGAUGUCUAAUGAGAACAUCCAAGUGUAUGAAUUGGGCAAAGCAAUCAAGUGGUAUAAAUAUUAAACAAAUUCCUGAACAUCUCAUGUUCUGCACAUGUGCUUCAUGUUCUGCACAUAAACCCAGAAGACGAGGAGUAGGGAAAAAGAAACUAAUAAGUGUCUGGUCCUAUAAUUCCUACGCCUAAAAUCUGUUACCACCAUCCUGGCCUUUACUCCACAUGGUUGAUCUUGAUAACGAGAGGAUCUGCUCAUACAUGACAAUUUGAACAAUUGCCGAUUGGCCGUUAGUUGUUAAUUAAUCAUAGUACCAAACGCCUUAUCAUUCUCUCUAAAGUCAAGAUUAUUUGGACAAGAUUUGCCUCUAUUCUUAUGUUUUUU